Long non-coding RNA from Beta vulgaris subsp. vulgaris (sugar beet), 1758 nucleotides. RefSeq lists it as uncharacterized. The transcript is spliced from 2 exons. The record is from RefSeq and is a predicted model, not a curated record. Lineage: Eukaryota; Viridiplantae; Streptophyta; Magnoliopsida; Caryophyllales; Amaranthaceae.
UUAAUUUUCAAGUUGUAAUUUUCACAAUCAGUUUCCCUUUUCCCCCAUUUUCUAGCUUUCUAGUCGGGUUCUUUUGGUAGGUUAAUUGGCUGUGGGACAAAAACCUUUUAUCAAUUGGAACACCCUUACAACUCGUCCCUGCUUCCGAUUUUUCUAGGGUUGUUCAUUCUACUUCUUUAUUCCUCAAAUUAAGGUUCCAGUUAUUAAACCCCCCAUUUUUCAAUUCUCAAUUUUCUACUUUCUUUUCUUUGAUCGCGAUUUUGUAUCUCGAUUUUGAUCUCGAUUUCAGAUUCAUUCAUAGAAUUCAGAUAUAUCAUCGCAUAAUUAGGGUUUUUUUCUUCUUUAAUUUGCCGAAUUUCGGUUUGAUUCUGAAUAAAUUACAGAGUUUUUGUUGAGUUAAGAGAUGGGGACUACCGAGGGAUUGGUGAUGCAGUUUGGAGUCACGAAGCCGAUUUCCAUGGCGAGACCUGCUGCUGCGGAUUUGAAGAGAACUCGUGAACUGGAGAAGAUGUCAGCAUUUUCUAGGCUCCGACACAGGUAUUGAAGUAAUAUGAGAAGAGUCCAAGAACAUACUCUAUAGACAGGUACGUUGAAAUAGAAAAGAUAUUGGAACAAGUUGACACAAAAUAAUAUACAAUCACUAGCAGUAAAGCAAUACCCAUUUGUUAUUCGGAUGUUGAUGUGUGCAAUGUGGGAUUUCUCUCAUAGUGUGUCAUAGUUGGCUAAUUUGAAGGAUUAAUCAUUAAUGAGAGUGAAAAACCACCAGUUAACUAGGCUAUGGAAUUUUUUAUGAGAAGUAUAAAGUGCUAAUUUGAUACGUAGCUUUCUCAUUGGCAUAGAGAUUUAAAAAUGAUACUAAAAUGUAGAAUGAAAAAAGAACUGUUUGAAUUAUAUGUGUUAGAAUCAAAGUAAUCAAAGAAAAACUGCAACGAGAUAAUCGACACAAAGAUAUACGUGACCAACAAUGUGUUAGCUUAUUCAUAGGCUUAGGGAGAAACAAUCUUAUUACACUUAUUCAUAUGCUUGUUGGCAUCCAUGUACGGGAUACUUUAUGAGUACACGAAGUGUUGUUACGUUGCAAGGGAUACUCUUUGUAGAACGAUGCUAUGGAUAUAGCUGGAUUUUGAAUUAGCCAUGGCUGAAAAUAUUUAUUUCAAUUGCAUAACUAACAAAUUGAUGAGCUUUUGUUGGGAAAGAAAAUAAGAGACACCUUUCACUAGUUUAUAUGUGUGAACGUUUCUGUAGCUGCUGUACUGAGUGUGGUGAUUUUGAGACGGGGCUUUCUUUAUAUGAAGACGUCGACUAAUUGGUGCAAAAGUUGAUUAACACUUUUAGUUAGCUCUACUUUAUAUGAUAGUGUUGCUGACUUGGCGAAUCUGUCGUCCAAUUGGCGUGUAGGCAAUCCACCCUGGUUAUGGAUUUUUGUCAGAAAAUGCUGAGUUUGCUCAACAGUGUGAAGACCAAAGUCUUUCUUUUGUAGGGCCUUCAACAUCUGCAAUACGGGAUAUGGGCCACAAAAGGUAAAAACAAGGGCUGCCUUAUUCCCAUGUUCUCCAAUGUAACUUUAUUUGUGUAUUCAAGAUCAUUUUCUUAUGAUUUUUGACCCCAAUGAGGUUUUUAAUUUGUGUAUUCAAGAUCAUUUUCUUAUGAAUUUUUGACCCCAAUGAGGUCUUUAAAAUUGUCAAUGUGUACAAUUUUGUUGUGGCUUGAUGUGCUUGUUAGUUGGAGACUACUAAUAUUUGAUUAAUUGACCUUUCA